Molecule: ribosomal RNA, 237 nt
Filed under: uncultured bacterium
Lineage: Bacteria
Description: partial 16S ribosomal RNA
Rfam family: Bacterial small subunit ribosomal RNA
Source: RNAcentral
UGAGCAAUCUGCCCUUCUCUUCGGAAUAAGCGUUGGAAACGACGUCUAAUGCCGAAUACGACCUCCUUUCACAUGAUCGGAGGUGGAAAGCUCCGGCGGAGAAGGAUGAGCUCGCGGCCUAUCAGCUAGUUGGUGUGGGUAAUGGCUCACCAAGGCGACGGACGGGUAGCCGGCCUGAGGAGGGUGACCCGGCCACACGUGGGACUGAGACACGGUCCAGACUCCGUACGGGAGCAG